GUAGUAAUGUCUGGGAAACUGCCUGAUGGAGGGGGAUAACUACUGGAAACGGUAGCUAAUACCGCAUAACGUCGCAAGACCAAAGAGGGGGACCUUCGGGCCUCUUGCCAUCAGAUGUGCCCAGAUGGGAUUAGCUAGUAGGUGGGGUAACGGCUCACCUAGGCGACGAUCCCUAGCUGGUCUGAGAGGAUGACCAGCCACACUGGAACUGAGACACGGUCCAGACUCCUACGGGAGGCAGCAGUGGGGAAUAUUGCACAAUGGGCGCAAGCCUGAUGCAGCCAUGCCGCGUGUAUGAAGAAGGCCUUCGGGUUGUAAAGUACUUUCAGCGGGGAGGAAGGUGCUGAGGUUAAUAACCUCAGCAAUUGACGUUACCCGCAGAAGAAGCACCGGCUAACUCCGUGCCAGCAGCCGCGGUAAUACGGAGGGUGCAAGCGUUAAUCGGAAUUACUGGGCGUAAAGCGCACGCAGGCGGUCUGUCAAGUCGGAUGUGAAAUCCCCGGG
RNAcentral lists this ribosomal RNA (504 nucleotides) under uncultured bacterium. RNAcentral's name for it is "bacterial SSU rRNA". It matches the Rfam family "Bacterial small subunit ribosomal RNA", at positions 108 to 607 of the family's 1533-position model. The record is from RNAcentral.